AAAUUAGGGUCGGUCGCGCAACAACAUGCUAGCUCUGAUUUUAUGUUCUUAGGACAUUUUAAGGAGUCUACGCUAAUAACCCAAUAACAUUUCUGUUCAGAAGGUUUUCUUGGUCAUUUGGGUCCUUUGUCGAAAGACAAAAAACCGGGAAAUGGCGGAUGUUGCGCCUGAUGGCCGAUCUAAUUUU
RNAcentral lists this non-coding RNA (187 nucleotides) under Cecidostiba semifascia. The record is from RNAcentral. Lineage: Eukaryota; Metazoa; Arthropoda; Insecta; Hymenoptera; Pteromalidae.